This 74-nucleotide transfer RNA is filed under the name Opitutales bacterium. RNAcentral describes it as "tRNA-Gly". It matches the Rfam family "tRNA". From Rfam's summary of the family: Transfer RNA (tRNA) molecules are approximately 80 nucleotides in length. Their secondary structure includes four short double-helical elements and three loops (D, anti-codon, and T loops). The record is from RNAcentral. Lineage: Bacteria; Pseudomonadati; Verrucomicrobiota; Opitutia; Opitutales.
GCGGGUAUAGUUUAGUGGUAAAACGCGAGCUUCCCAAGCUUGAGUCGAGGGUUCAAUUCCCUCUACCCGCACCA